CUUUCUUUGCUGGCGACCGGCGCACGGGUGAGUAACACGUAUCCAACCUGCCCUUUACUCGGGGAUAGCCUUUCGAAAGAAAGAUUAAUACCCGAUAGUAUAAUGAUUCCGCAUGGUUUCAUUAUUAAAGGAUUCCGGUAAAGGAUGGGGAUGCGUUCCAUUAGGUUGUUGGUGAGGUAACGGCUCACCAAGCCUUCGAUGGAUAGGGGUUCUGAGAGGAAGGUCCCCCACAUUGGAACUGUGACACGGUCCAA
RNAcentral lists this ribosomal RNA (254 nucleotides) under uncultured bacterium. RNAcentral describes it as "partial 16S ribosomal RNA". It matches the Rfam family "Bacterial small subunit ribosomal RNA", at positions 79 to 334 of the family's 1533-position model. The record is from RNAcentral.